AGGUCAUCAAGACCGUCGCCAAAGCUGCACCAAAAAUGAGCCCACUGUCAAAUUGCUAACUCGUGUAAUCCAUAAUAUGUAAAUUCAAAAAUGCCAUAGUCCAAACAGUACAUGUUUAUAUAUAUAUAAGUAUAGCAUGUAUUAACAUUUCAAAAUAUAUCAGGCCUUUCGGUUAUUUA
Long non-coding RNA from Sipha flava (yellow sugarcane aphid), 179 nucleotides. RefSeq lists it as uncharacterized. Lineage: Eukaryota; Metazoa; Arthropoda; Insecta; Hemiptera; Aphididae. The transcript is spliced from 2 exons. The record is from RefSeq and is a predicted model, not a curated record.